CGUAUUUUUUUUUUUUUUUUGAAAAAUUCAUUUUUAACUUUAAAUCAUCUCCGGCAUGAAAUAGUCAAAAUCUAUUCAGAACAUCAUCAUCACUUAGUGUGUCAUAACGUUAUGUUUGUUUACUAUAUAUAUAUAUAUAUAUAUAUAUAUAGAGAGAGAGAGAUGGAUAGAUAAAGUUAAUACAGCUGCCAUUUUUCUCUUGAUUCUUCACAUAAGUUUAUAUUUAUGUUUCACAACAAAGUUGUUUGUUUGACAACAGAUAAAGAAAAGUGCUCCAACAACCAAGUCUGGUUAUGAUGACAUCACUGCAUGUGUUAGCCAGGCACGGCCUGGUGGACCCAUCAAGUUCUGAGGGAAAAGGUGCAACACACAUUCUACAAAUAUUGCAUAUUUGUACAAAUACAUGCAUUUUGCAGAUAUUGCAUUGGCAUUGUGUAUAACAAUACUAGCGUUUAUUUUUUUUUUGCCAGGACCCCUUUAUUUAUACUGAAAAAAGAAGUCUUGUAUCUCAAACCAUGCCAAAAUAAGUUGUGGAUUUAAGUCUUUCUUAAAAACAAAAAACAACAACAAAAAAAAAAAACAAU
Long non-coding RNA from Melanotaenia boesemani (Boeseman's rainbowfish), 584 nucleotides. RefSeq lists it as uncharacterized. Lineage: Eukaryota; Metazoa; Chordata; Actinopteri; Atheriniformes; Melanotaeniidae. The transcript has 2 exons. The record is from RefSeq and is a predicted model, not a curated record.